CCCGAAACCGACACAGGUGGUCAGGUCGAGAAGACCAAGGCGCUUGAGAGAACUCUGGUGAAGGAACUAGGCAAAAUAGUACCGUAACUUCGGGAGAAGGUACGCUGUUGAGGGUUAAGUAUUUACUACGUCAGCCCUUGGCAGCCUCAGUAACCAGGCCGCUGCAACUGUUUAUUAAAACACAGCACUCUGCAAACACGAAAGUGGACGUAUAGGGUGUGAUGCCUGCCCGGUGCCGGAAGGUUAAUUGAUGGGGUUAGCGAAAGCGAAGCUCUUGAUCGAAGCCCCGGUAAACGGCGGCCGUAACAAUAACGGUCCUAAGGUAGCGAAAUUCCUUGUCGGGUAAGUUCCGACCUGCACGAAUGGCAUAAUGAUGGCGGCGCUGUCUCCACCAGAGACUCAGUGAAAUCGAAAUCGCGGUGAAGAUGCCGUGUACCCGUGGC
Molecule: ribosomal RNA, 443 nt
Filed under: uncultured bacterium
Lineage: Bacteria
Description: bacterial LSU rRNA
Rfam family: Bacterial large subunit ribosomal RNA
Source: RNAcentral